Molecule: ribosomal RNA, 395 nt
Filed under: uncultured bacterium
Lineage: Bacteria
Description: bacterial SSU rRNA
Rfam family: Bacterial small subunit ribosomal RNA
Source: RNAcentral
UAACGCGAAGAACCUUACCAGGUCUUGACAUCUUCUGCCAAUCUUAGAGAUAAGACGUUCCCUUCGGGGACAGAAUGACAGGUGGUGCAUGGUUGUCGUCAGCUCGUGUCGUGAGAUGUUGGGUUAAGUCCCGCAACGAGCGCAACCCUUAUUAUCAGUUGCCAGCAUUCAGUUGGGCACUCUGGUGAGACUGCCGGUGACAAACCGGAGGAAGGUGGGGAUGACGUCAAAUCAUCAUGCCCCUUAUGACCUGGGCUACACACGUGCUACAAUGGACGGUACAACGAGUUGCGAAGUCGUGAGGCUAAGCUAAUCUCUUAAAGCCGUUCUCAGUUCGGAUUGUAGGCUGCAACUCGCCUACAUGAAGUUGGAAUCGCUAGUAAUCGCGGAUCAGC